CUGUGCUCUCUCCUUAAUCCCUAUGUAUCUUUAAACAAAUGGAGGUCAUUUAGGUACUCCAAAGGCCACUGGAGGCCAUGACCUCCAUUUGUUUAAAUAUACAUGGGGAUUAAGGAGAGAGCACAGGU
Molecule: non-coding RNA, 128 nt
Organism: Pelobates cultripes (western spadefoot toad)
Lineage: Eukaryota; Metazoa; Chordata; Amphibia; Anura; Pelobatidae
Source: the annotation of a GenBank genome assembly